This 4243-nucleotide long non-coding RNA is filed under the name Sarcophilus harrisii (Tasmanian devil). RNAcentral describes it as "lncRNA (ENSSHAG00000028996.1)". The record is from RNAcentral. Lineage: Eukaryota; Metazoa; Chordata; Mammalia; Dasyuromorphia; Dasyuridae.
GAAUACCUCCGUGAGCAUAUAAAUGUGAUCCUCCGCCUUUGGGACUACACUAUUCUCUGUGGAGAAGUCCUCUGCCAGUGAUUACAACUUUCCCAAUUUGACCAUGAAGAUCAGUGGAGGCUUCCUACUGCUGUUUGCCCUGGCCCCUCUCUGCCUAUCCGCUGUAGUUCCUGUUCAGGAUUUAGGGAAGGAGGACUGCAGCAUUUAUAAGAAGUUCCCAGUGUCAGCUAUUCCCUGCCCUGUUACAUAUUUUCCCGUGUGUGGUUCUGACUACAUGACUUAUGGAAAUGGAUGUCAUCUAUGCAUAGAGACCUUGAAAACAAAUGGAAAAGUGACUUAUCUUCAUGAUGGAAAUUGCUAACUCCUCCCUGAACCAGACUAUAGAAAAAUCGUACCCCUAUCAUCUUUGUCACCAUCUGAACCACUCUGGUCCCUUGAUGAAUCCUUUAUGUAUGUGGGUAGGCUAAAAAUGUUCCAAUCUAAUUUCCAUUGUCAGGGGACACAUGUGGUAUCCCUAUGGCCUUCCCGUGUCUGUAAAAUACAAAAUACAAAACAGUCUUCCUUCUCAAUAAAAACAAUAUUGCUAUUAGUUGGGAUUCCAUUGUGAAAUCAGGUUCUCAGAAUUAACAUAAACAUGCUCAGUCUGCCACCACAAAAAGUUAAUGUUGCUCAGUAAACUUUAAAUUAGAAAAAUGAAUUUGAGUUCUGAACCUUCUAGUUACUGAUAGGAUGAGCCUUUUGUCCUUGCCUAUCUGAGCCUUGGUUUCUGUAUGUAUAGAAUGGGAAUAAUGAUAUUUAUACUACCUAUCUGCUUGGAGUAUUAGGAAGAAAUCCUCUUGUAAGUCAAAGUGCUUUAUAGAAAAGUGAGCUGUCACUAUGUAAGCAGGAGAAAUUAGGACAGAAUCACAGUUGAAAGUAGACACAAAACAUAUUGUUAUCAUAAUUUAGAAAUAAGGGCUCAAGUUAAUUAAAGCUCUGAGCAAAGACUUAACAACAAACUUUAAAGUGGCAGAAGAUUGUAAAAUGUUGCUUAUUUCUGUUUGGUUUUUAUGGCUUUUAUCACAUGCUUGUUAUCAUAGCCAUUUCUAUACAUAUCUAAUCAGGACUUCACAACUUAUUAGAAAUUAUCUAUGGGCUUGGGACUAUAUCAAUGGUAAAUUCAUUUUGAAAGGUGCUACCAAGUUGAAAGGUUUCAAGCAUUGAUCCAGUUAUAGAGUUCCUAUCUAUCAUCUGAGGGCUAGAUUUUUCAAGUCUGAAGAGUGUCAUCAAUGGAAGACUAAAUUCCCGGAGAUGUACAACAGUUCAUACAGAACCAUUAAAUAAGUCACUGAAGGUUUCCAACUAGAUUCAUUGAGGAAACAUCCAUAUUGAUGAAAUCAUGCAUCUUUGAAGUAUUGAAAAAAGGCUUCUGGGACCCUCCACAGCAAGCCAGACAAAACUUUGUCCAUAAUUCUUUACUAUUUCACUGCCUCCAGUAUCUCAUUGGUGUUAGAACUCUCUCUGGAGGUGCAAAUCACAAUUCAUUCAUAUUAUAAUUAGCAUUAUUAUCAUCAUCAUCACCAUCAAAACUAAGCUAGCAUUUUUAAGGUUUGCAAAGAACUUUUCAUUUGAUCUUUACAACAAUUCUGAGAUUUAGGUGCUAUUUUUAUCAUCUCUAUGUACAGAGAGAAAACUGAGCCUGAGAGGUCAAAUGACUUGCAAGUCAAAUUACAUAGUAGCUAAGAACAGGAAUCUAACUCAGCUCUUACAUUCUUAUUUGUAUAUUUUAUUAUUUGUGUAAACAAAACAAAACAAAACAAAACAUUAAGGUAUCUGCUUAUCUGCCUUCCUGCUUGGUAUCUUUGCUUUACUGAAUUUUAUAAAUUAUUUGAAAUCCAAAGAGUAGUCAAUGUUCUUUAUAGGAACACUGCUAUUAUUCCUUAUAAUAAUUUAGGAUGAAUCUAUCUGUCCUAAACCAUAUCUAUUAUAAAAAGUAGGACUAUCUACUUGGGGCUUGAUUUAAUCCACUCCAAUAUGACAGUGAAAUGGAGUACUGAUCUUUUAUUAUCUACUAUAAUGCUUUGCUAUAAAUAUAUACCAAUAUGAUGUCAACAUUACAAAAAAUCUGUGAUUUGAUCAAUAUAGAUUACAUGUAUCUGGGAUCCAUAUCACAAACUUUAAUUACCUCCAGAAAUAUUUUUAGGAUUUGCUGUGCCAAAAAAAAAGUUCAUUACCUAUGAUGCUAAGGAAGGAUUACUAAUACUAUUAUUUGUUAUGGUGAGAGAGUAAAAAAAAAGCCCAGAAGCAUUAGGGAUGAAAUUAGGAAUAUAUCACACACAUACACACACACACACAAUGAAAAAUAGCUGCAAUUUCUAUUUUCUCCAAUGAAAACAGAGCUACCUUGGCUGAACUCAAAAAUUAUAAUCAACAAUUUCAUACAUAAGUAUUUUAUUUUAUACAUGUAUCAUAAAAGUGUUCAAAUGAAUCAGUUAGAUCAUCCAUUGUUGUCUUUAGGGAUAAAACCAACUAAGAAUGCUAUUAUAUGAAACAGCUACUUACACAGUGGUUUUCAGAUACAAAAGUGUCUUUCUAUGCACCAAAUGCCAAAUUUGUGCUACAUUUCUCAAGGUUAAAGAAACUUCCAAGAGAUUUCUAAGCAGUUACCUUAGACUACAUUAUAAAGUAAGGAAAUAAGACAAAGAGAAAUUUUCUGCAAUAAAAGCAUGAAAUUCAAUAACAUAUAUCAACAACAUCUUGCCAGGAUGAGAUGAAGAUAUGACAAAUAUAAUAAAGCUGAACCCAUCUAUAGGGGCCUUUCCAAGGAAAAUAUACCCAAUACUCUUUGUAAAACUUUUGGGGACAACAAGCAGAUGGCACUCAAGCAAAGAGUGGGGCCUUUCCAAGAUAAUCAACUAUGUGGCCGUUGUUUUCAUCCCCAAUUCUUCAGCUUGGAUGACAAGAAGUAUGACUUGUGCUUUGACUUUCCUAUGCCCAAGGAGUGAGCACUCUUGUAUUUUCUUUCUAUGGACCUCACAAAGAGUAGACUCAACUGGGCAGCUUUAUCCAGAUACCCUUUAACAAUUUUUUUCCCUUUCUUUUCUGAUCUUAGGCAAUAUCAAGGGAUACAUACCAAAGACUUUUAGAGUUCCAAAGGUCAUCUAGAGCAACUAUUCUUCCUAUAUUGGUUUCCUGUUGUAGAAGUAGAAUAUUAUGAUCACAUACUGAUAGGCAAUUGAAAAUGUAAGAGAUAAGCAUUAAUGCUUACCUGAAUUGAUUAGACUUCUGGCAUAGAUUACCAAUUGUCUGUUAUUACUAAUUUACCACUACUUCAUAAGGAAUGGGUCUGAUAUCAACUCUUCCCCCCUCCCCCCCCCCCAGCCAUCUGUCUCUAUCAUCCCCUGCCAAACAUGCAAGUAACAUCAGACCUGAAGCCAGGAAGGCCUGAGUUCAAAUUCAACCUCAGAUUACCUGUGUAACACUGCAUGUCACUUAAACUGUUUGCCUCAGUUUCCUCAACUGUAAAAUUAGCAUAAUAAUAGCAUAUACUUGACAGAAUGAUGAAAAUACAAGAAAGAAAAAAAAAAGAAUUUUUAAGAAAAUAUUUACACAGUGCCUGGCAUUUGAUGGGGCUAUAUAAAAGUUUACUCCCUACCUACCUAACUUCUUCAAGAAGCCUUUCCUAGUCUUCCUUUAAUUUAGUACCUUCUCUAAUUUAGACUAACCCCCAAUUUAGUCUGUAUACAUCGUGUUUGUGAAUAAUUAACAGGAUGUUGUCUUCCCACAUUUGGACUAGAAACUACUUGAAAAGAGGAUGGUUUUCUCUCUUUUUUUUUAAAUCCCCUAGCAGUCAAAGCAGGUGUUUAAUAAAUGCUUGUUUACUUGAUUUAAUUAUGUGACAACUGGAUCUAGAAUUGAAUAGGAGGUAAUCCUUAUCAGUCAAGUGAAUGCUAAGAUAUUAUCAUAUGGAAGGGAAACAGGCUCUUUUUUGGAGAGCCUCCUGUAUCCAAGAGGAAGGUAGAGGAAGAAACUAGGAUGGGAUUUAUUUGCUUGUUUUUUCUCAUUUUUUCCUCUUGAUUUAAUUUUUCUUGAUCAGCAGACAAAUAUGGAAAUAUGUUUAGAAGAAUUGCACAUGUUAAAUGUAUAUUGAAUUGCCUGCUGCCUUGGGGAGGAGAGAGAGCGAGAGGGAGAAAAUUUUGGAACACAAGGUUUUGCAAAGGAAAAUAUUGAAAAUUAUCAUUGCAUGUAUUUGGAAAAAUAAAAU